This 253-nucleotide ribosomal RNA is filed under the name uncultured bacterium. Its description in RNAcentral is "partial 16S ribosomal RNA". It matches the Rfam family "Bacterial small subunit ribosomal RNA", at positions 524 to 776 of the family's 1533-position model. The record is from RNAcentral.
UACAGAGGUGGCAAGCGUUGUUCGGAAUUACUGGGCGUAAAGGGCGCGUAGGCGGCCUUCUCAGUCGGACGUGAAAUCCCCAGGCUUAACUUGGGAACUGCGUCCGAUACUGGAUGGCUUGAGUGCGGGAGAGGGAUGUGGAAUUCCAGGUGUAGCGGUGAAAUGCGUAGAUAUCUGGAGGAACACCGGUGGCGAAGGCGGCAUCCUGGACCGACACUGACACUGAGGAGCGAAAGCCAGGGGAGCAAACGGG